This 677-nucleotide ribosomal RNA is filed under the name Plasmodium lophurae. RNAcentral's name for it is "SSU rRNA". It matches the Rfam family "Eukaryotic small subunit ribosomal RNA", at positions 1133 to 1827 of the family's 1831-position model. The record is from RNAcentral. Lineage: Eukaryota; Apicomplexa; Aconoidasida; Haemosporida; Plasmodiidae.
AAGCGAGAAAGUUAAAAGAAUUGACGGAAGGGCACCACCAGGCGUGGAGCUUGCGGCUUAAUUUGACUCAACACGGGAAAACUCACUAGUUUAAGACAAGAGUAGGAUUGACAGAUUAAUAGCUCUUUCUUGAUUUCUUGGAUGGUGAUGCAUGGCCGUUUUUAGUUCGUGAAUAUGAUUUGUCUGGUUAAUUCCGAUAACGAACGAGAUCUUAACCUGCUAAUUAGCGGUAAAUACGACAUAUUCAUGUACAAAACUUCUUAGAGGGACAUUGUGUGUCUAACACAAGGAAGUUUAAGGCAACAACAGGUCUGUGAUGUCCUUAGAUGAACUAGGCUGCACGCGUGCUACACUGAUAUAUAUAACGAGUUACUACCUCCACUGAAAAGUGUAGGUAAUCUUUAUCAAUAUAUAUCGUGAUGGGGAUAGAUUAUUGCAAUUAUUAAUCUUGAACGAGGAAUGCCUAGUAAGCAUGAUUCAUCAGAUUGUGCUGACUACGUCCCUGCCCUUUGUACACACCGCCCGUCGCUCCUAGCCGAUUGAAAGAUAUGAUGAAUUGUUUGGACAAGAAAAAAUAAAUUUAUAUUGUGUUUUUUUUUGGAAAAACCGUAAAUCCUAUCUUUUAAAGGAAGGAGAAGUCGUAACAAGGUUUCCGUAGGUGAACCUGCGGAAGGAUC